GAGGGAAAGGCGAAAAGAACCCCGGAGAGGGGAGUGAAAUAGAACCUGAAACCGUGUGCGUACAAGCAGUAGGAGCUCCGCAAGGAGUGACUGCGUACCUUUUGUAUAAUGGGUCAGCGACUUACUGUUCGUGGCAAGCUUAACCGUAUAGGGGAGGCGAAGGGAAACCGAGUCUGAUAAGGGCGCAUAGUCGCGGGCAGUAGACCCGAAACCGGGUGAUCUAGUCAUGCCCAGGGUGAAGGUGCGGUAACACGCACUGGAGGCCCGAACCCACUCCCGUUGCAAAGGUAGGGGAUGAGGUGUGAUUAGGAGUGAAAAGCUAAUCGAACCCGGAGAUAGCUGGUUCUCCUCGAAAGCUAUUUAGGUAGCGCCUCAUAUGUAUCCUCUCGGGGGUAGAGCACUGUUAUGGCUAGGGGGUCAUCGCGACUUACCAAACCAUUGCAAACUCCGAAUACCGAGACGGACUGUAUGGGAGACACACGGCGGGUGCUAACGUCCGUCGUGAAAAGGGAAACAACCCAGACCCACAGCUAAGGUCCCAAAUUCACUGCUAAGUGGAAAACCAUGUGGAAAGGCACAGACAGCCAGGAGGUUGGCUUAGAAGCAGCCACCCUUUAAAGAAAGCGUAAUAGCUCACUGGUCGAGUCGGUCUGCGGGGAAGAUUUAACGGGGCUAAGCAGUGAACCGAAGCUUGGGGUGCAUACUUUGUAUGCGCGGUAGAGGAGCGUUCCGUAAGCCGUUGAAGGUGGAUUGAGAAGUCUGCUGGAGGUAUCGGAAGUGCGAAUGCUGACAUGAGUAACGAUAAUGCGGGUGAAAAACCCGCACGCCGAAAGCCCAAGGUUUCCUUGCGCAACGUUAAUCGGCGCAGGGUGAGUCGGCCCCUAAGGCGAGGACGAAAGUCGUAGUCGAUGGGAAGCAGGUUAAUAUUCCUGCACCUCGCGUAAGUGCGAUGGAGGGACGGAGAAGGUUAGGUGUACCAGGCGUUGGUUGUCCUGGGGAAAGGCGGUAGGUUUGGAUCUUUGGCAAAUCCGGGAUCCUUUAAGACCGAGCACCGAGACGAGCCUUUAUGGCGAAGUCACUGAUACCACGCUUCCAGGAAAAGCUCCUAAGCUUCAGCUUACGCAGACCGUACCGUAAACCGACACAGGUGGGUAGGAUGAGAAUUCUCAGGCGCUUGAGAGAACUCGGGUGAAGGAACUAGGCAACAUGGCACCGUAACUUCGGGAGAAGGUGCACCCUUUUUGGUGGCUCGUGCGAGCUAUAGCUGAAGAGGGUCGCAGUAACCAGGCCGCUGCGACUGUUUAUCAAAAACACAGCACUCUGCAAACACGAAAGUGGACGUAUAGGGUGUGACGCCUGCCCGGUGCUGGAAGGUUAAUUGAUGGGGUCAGCCGCAAGGCGAAGCUCUUGAUCGAAGCCCCAGUAAACGGCGGCCGUAACUAUAACGGUCCUAAGGUAGCGAAAUUCCUUGUCGGGUAAGUUCCGACCUGCACGAAUGGCGUAACGACAGCGGCGCUGUCUCCACCCGAGACUCAGUGAAAUUGAAAUCGCUGUGAAGAUGCAGCGUUCCCGUGGCAAGACGGAAAGACCCCGUGAACCUUUACUAUAGCUUUACACUGAACGUUGAGUUCGUCUGUGUAGGAUAGGUGGGAGGCUAUGAAACCAUGGCGCUAGCUGUGGUGGAGCCAUCCUUGAAAUACCACCCUGUCGUGCUUGACGUUCUAACCUGGGCCCAUUAUCUGGGUCGGGGACCGUGUAUGGUGGGUAGUUUGACUGGGGCGGUCUCCUC
RNAcentral lists this ribosomal RNA (1789 nucleotides) under metagenome. RNAcentral describes it as "bacterial LSU rRNA". It matches the Rfam family "Bacterial large subunit ribosomal RNA", at positions 505 to 2289 of the family's 2925-position model. The record is from RNAcentral.